GACGAACGCUGGCGGCGUGCUUAACACAUGCAAGUCGAACGGAAAGGCCCUGCUUUUGUGGGGUGCUCGAGUGGCGAACGGGUGAGUAACACGUGAGUAACCUGCCCUGGACUUUGGGAUAACUUCAGGAAACUGGGGCUAAUAACGGAUAGGAGCUCCUGCUGCAUGGUGGGGGUUGGAAAGUUUCGGCGGUUGGGGAUGGACUCGCGGCUUAUCAGCUUGUUGGUGGGGUAGUGGCUUACCAAGGCUUUGACGGGUAGCCGGCCUGAGAGGGUGACCGGCCACAUUGGGACUGAGAUACGGCCCAGACUCCUACGGGAGGCAGCAGUGGGGAAUAUUGCACAAUGGGCGGAAGCCUGAUGCAGCAACGCCGCGUGCGGGAUGACGGCCUUCGGGUUGUAAACCGCUUUCGCCUGUGACGAAGCGUGAGUGACGGUAAUGGGUAAAGAAGCACCGGCUAACUACGUG
Molecule: ribosomal RNA, 468 nt
Filed under: uncultured bacterium
Lineage: Bacteria
Description: partial 16S ribosomal RNA
Rfam family: Bacterial small subunit ribosomal RNA
Source: RNAcentral